Molecule: unclassified non-coding RNA, 383 nt
Filed under: Hevea brasiliensis (rubber tree)
Lineage: Eukaryota; Viridiplantae; Streptophyta; Magnoliopsida; Malpighiales; Euphorbiaceae
Source: RNAcentral
CUUAAUUGACGAGAAGGAAACAGGUAUUUAAUGAAGCCUUUUUUUUUAGGGUUUAUUAUUAUUGCUGAUAAUUACUCUGUCGUCUCUGUUCAAAAAAUUUCCUAGGGAGGGUACAUGCUGCAACUGCAAUGUUCAAUAGAAGUUUUUAGGAUAGUUUUAUAAUUAGACGAAACUUUUAGCUAGCAUUAUGUAUAUAAAAGGAUCAUAUUUUGGAUUAUUCUUUUGCCCAGAGAACAUUAUACAUUCACUAGCCAUGCUUACAGAGCUAUUUUGAAGAGCUAUUAGCUGCAAUCCUGAAGUUUUAAAUUGAGUCUAUUAAUUCAGUGACACAUGCACUCACCGAAGAUUCAGACUUUUUUUUUUCUCUUUUUUGAGGAGGGGGG